GCAGAUGCCGCCGCGGAGUUCGCUUGGGGCCGUUGUUCCUUCAGCUAGACUCGUUCCUGAUCCAAGGGCUUUUAUAUACUGGGCGACUCUAUCCCUCGUCCAUCUAUCCAGAGCAAGAACAGCUGAUGCCACCAUUGGGGCUAGCUGAGAGAGAGAGCUGGUCGUGCCCACGUCGUUGUUGGGUCUCAGCUGGAAGGCUAUCCGAGCGAAGGGGAGCGAUUGAAAGUGGUCACCGGCGCGGAUCCACGGGUACUCGGCGCUGGAGUUUCUGUAGCAGUCCUGGGGGCGUCUGGUGUUGCUCGUGGCCACUCCAUGCGAGCGCGUUGCCGGGGUCGUGCUGAUUCCUCCUCACCCAGCUCAGAUCCGAAGCCUAAAGGAAAUCGCGCCAGCAGAUGCGCGUCGUCGCUUGCUGCCUGCGCUACUGCUACAGCUUCGGGGUCCUGCGACGAUGCUAGGCGACUGGAGGUAGGUGACGAUGCGAGGACCGUUGAUCUCGCAAUGCAUGGCUCGAUUUGGGGCGUCGAGGCCCUGGAUCAUCUGCAUUCCGGCGAGGCUCCGCCGUACUUAGCGCGUGCGUCUCUGCCUGGGCGCGGGAUUAUUAUUGAUCUAAUAUGGAUCAUGCGGAUCGGAUCGGACGACCCAGGCUCCAAGGUACCCCUUCACCGCGAUCAUUUUCUAAAAGAGUCCCUGCUGAUUUUAAAAAUAGAACCCGUCGUCCAUGCCAGUGCUGGUUCUAUUACAAACCGGUCCUGAAACUUAUAAUUUUAACCUUGCACUUUUAGAAAUUAUAAUUCGAGGACUAAACGGUUAGGGAAAUUAAUAAAGUGAGCCAUUAAGUGAUUUCUAAUCUAACAAAUAAUUUCAGAAACUUGUUUAAUUCAUCUUAACUCAUUUUUUAUCCAUUCCAGUUGUAUUAGAUUCAUAUUAAUAUUGUUUAUCACCUAGUAACUCUGUUUGGACAUAAAACAUAGAUUAAAAUUGUUUACUUAAUUUAUCUCGUGCCAAGUAUUUAACAACUUCGGAAAAUCAUAACUUAAGAACCGUAACUCCGAUUUGAUCCGUUCGAAUUACGUUGGAUUCAAAACAAUAUCAUUUAUACAAUAUGACACUAACAUUUAUCGCACCCCAUACUUUUAUUAUUAGAAAUUUGUCUAGCCCAUGUUUAAUAGAUUAACUCCUCUAAUCGAAGUUAACUUAUCCAUAAUUAUAAUUUAACUAAAAUAUGAUCUCUAGUCAAGUUAUAAUUAAGGUUUAAGCUGAGUUAAUUAUUUAUAGAAUAGUCUCUCAUAUGAUAUACACUAAACAAUUUAUAAUAUAGUUUAAUAUCAAAAUCCCAUAGAUCUCCCAUAAAUCAUAACUCCUUAACCAUGACUCCGAUCUUAGUAGUUCUCAAUCCCAUGAUCUCAUAGCAACACGUAGAUUAUUAUUAAGCAGUUUGUACUUAUGUUUGGUGUGAUGUUAAUUUUGCCUAUACCAUGUUUGUCUGUAUUGCUACGACUAGCAGUGAGGUCACGAGAAUCUGAAGGUCAUCUCGGUACCUGGAAAUCUCAAGUCCCAGGCAAGUUGUGCCCUUGAUCACUUCUUUUUACCCACUCAUGUUCUAAUUAAUCAUAAUGAUCUGCAUAGGUUAAUUUUGAUGGGACCCAAUAGGAUACCCUAGUUUGUCUAUCUUUAUACCUUGUUUACCACUGAACUUUCUGGGUAGUACUUGCUAGUGCUAUAUGUGGUUUUGGGUAUGGAGAUACAUUAUUCAUGAUUACACUUUUGUUAUCGGUUGUUAUUUACUGUUCAUGAUAAGAUCAUUAUGUUAAUUGGAACAUGGAGCGACCACCC
Molecule: long non-coding RNA, 1833 nt
Filed under: Zea mays
Lineage: Eukaryota; Viridiplantae; Streptophyta; Magnoliopsida; Poales; Poaceae
Description: long non-coding RNA (ZMAY_LNC002586)
Source: RNAcentral